Molecule: long non-coding RNA, 435 nt
Filed under: Homo sapiens (human)
Lineage: Eukaryota; Metazoa; Chordata; Mammalia; Primates; Hominidae
Description: HSALNT0031536
Source: RNAcentral
GGUCCCCUUCCACACUGUGGAAGCUUUGUUCUCUCGAUCUUUGCAAUACAUCUUGCUACUGCUUACUCUUUCGGUCCACACUGCCUUUAUGAGCUGUAACACUCACCGCAAAGGUCUGCAGCUUCACUCCUGAAGCCAGCGAGACCACGAACCCACCGGGAGGAACGAACAACUCCAGACACGCUGCCUUAAGAGCUGUAACACUCACCGUGAAGGUCCGCAGUUUCACUCCUGAGCCAGCGAGACCACAAACCCACCAGAAGGAAGAAACUCCGAACACAUCCAAACAUCAUAAGGAGCAAACUCCAGACGAGCAACCGUAAGAGCUGUAACACUCACCGCGGCUUCAUUCUUGAAGUCAGUGAGACCAAGAACCCACCAAUUCCGGACACAAUAGUUCCAUGAAAGCUGAAUAGGAACAGCUCCAGUCUACAG